Molecule: ribosomal RNA, 584 nt
Filed under: uncultured bacterium
Lineage: Bacteria
Description: bacterial SSU rRNA
Rfam family: Bacterial small subunit ribosomal RNA
Source: RNAcentral
UGGUAGCCGGACUGAGAGGUUGAACGGCCACAUUGGGACUGAGACACGGCCCAGACUCCUACGGGAGGCAGCAGUGGGGGAUAUUGCACAAUGGGGGAAACCCUGAUGCAGCGACGCCGCGUGGAGGAAGAAGGUUUUCGGAUUGUAAACUCCUGUCGUUAGGGACGAUAAUGACGGUACCUAACAAGAAAGCACCGGCUAACUACGUGCCAGCAGCCGCGGUAAAACGUAGGGUGCAAGCGUUGUCCGGAAUUACUGGGUGUAAAGGGAGCGCAGGCGGGAAGACAAGUUGGAAGUGAAAACCAUGGGCUCAACCCAUGAAUUGCUUUCAAAACUGUUUUUCUUGAGUAGUGCAGAGGUAGAUGGAAUUCCCGGUGUAGCGGUGGAAUGCGUAGAUAUCGGGAGGAACACCAGUGGCGAAGGCGGUCUACUGGGCACCAACUGACGCUGAGGCUCGAAAGCAUGGGUAGCAAACAGGAUUAGAUACCCUGGUAGUCCAUGCCGUAAACGAUGAUUACUAGGUGUUGGGGGAUUGACCCCCUCAGUGCCGCAGUUAACACAAUAAGUAAUCCACCUGGGGAGUA